This 26-nucleotide non-coding RNA is filed under the name Homo sapiens (human). The record is from RNAcentral. Lineage: Eukaryota; Metazoa; Chordata; Mammalia; Primates; Hominidae.
UAGCCAGGAAGAACGCUUGUGGGCCU